CAAAGAAACGCACAUGAGUUCCUCUAACUAGCCCGCUGACGGGAAACUUAGAUAGAGCUUUACGUUCCGGAUUGGGACGUAGUUGGAGGCGUGGUGCUGGGAAACUUGUCUUUGAAACCAAGCUUCUUGUGGACCCGAUCUAUGUGAUACAGACACAAAGAGCAGCUCUCCACUCCAGAGUAUUGGGGAUGACUUUCCAUUUCCUAAAACACACUACACUGGGUGUUGCCAAAGGAGAUUAACAUUUGAGUCAGUGGACUGGAAGAAGCAGACCCAUCGAAUCAACUGCCAGCACAGCUCAAAUAAAGCAGACAGAAGAAAAACAUCAGGUAAAUUUCGGUAAAUAGACAUCCUACAAAAUACCCGACCAGCACUCCUCAAAAGUGUUGAACUGUCAAAGUCAUCAAAAACAAAGUCUGAAAAACUGUCACUGCCAAGAGGAACCUAAGGAGCCGUGACAACUAAAUUUUCUCAAGAGACUGCUGGUACACCUGGCAGAAGGACUCAAGCUCUUCAACACUCUUCACUGAGGCCGAAGGGAUUUCUUUCUUGGUCAGAUUCUCCUCCUCCAGACUGUUGUAAACUACUUCAUCUACACGGCUCUGGUUUGCUGAAACAUUCCCUUCUACAUUAUUCAAAAGAGACGUUUCUCCUGUCUGUUCUAAAAGAGCUUUGCAAAAGGAGCAGUCUCCCAAACUGCUAAGACUAGGGCUGACAGGCAGGCAAGAGGAUGACAGGGAUGGAACGAGCCCCUCCUCCAAGCCCGGCUACAUCUCCUUCACCAAGUCACAUUGAAAGUUUCUGAGAUUCACCGGGUGCGGUGGCUCACGCCUGUAAUCCCAGCACUUUGGGAGGCCGAGGCAGGUGGAUCACAAGGUCAAGAGAUCGAGCCCAUCCUGGUCAACAUGGUGAAACCCCAUCUCUACUAAAAAUACAAAAAAUUAGCUGGGCAUGGUGGCACGUGCCUUUAAUCCCGGCUACUCAGGAGGCUGAGGCAGGAGAAUUGCCUGAACCCAGGAGGCGGAGGUUGCGGUGAGCCGAGAUCCCGCCGUUGCACUCCAGCCGGGGAAAACAAGAGCGAAACUCCACCUAAAAAAAGAAAAAAAGAGAAAGUUUUUGAGAUUCGUUGACAAGACCAAAUUUUCAGCUUUUAAUGAGUCAACAAGCUUCAAGGAGUUUUCUUGCUGAUUUAUCUUUUCUUGAAGAUCUCUUAACAUGGUUUCCUGAGAGGACUUCACUAUUUAAAAAUAAAUAAAUAAAAGUUGUCAAUGUUUGUAAUAAAUAUUUAUUCUAAAGAAUGCUAACCCCUCCCACCACAAAAAAAAAUUCAAACAAACAACUUCUCAGGCCCUGGGAAAACUGGCAUUAUUGCCUGGGUACCCCCUAGAAAGUGGAUCGCUUGAUAAUUAUAUAAAAACAAUGAGAAAAAUGGUUAUCUUAAAGAUAGUACCAUGUUUAUUCAUCUUCUUUCUAGUAGCUUCGAUAGCUUGGAAUAAAAUACCAAGGGACAACUUUCCUAAGCACUUGAAACUGUCUCUUCUUUUCUUUGUAUAUGUUCAUAUAUGUGUGUAUUUUUACCAUCUUUUCAAAUAUUUAUUCAAAGAGAGAAAACUGGGACAAGAACAGCACUGAAAUGGGAACAUUCCACUUCAUUGUAGAAUAAUCCUGAUGUCCCAGAAAAGUCAGUAAGUACACCACCAUUUAGCCAGAACAUCCAAAGAUUAGACUUCAGUAGAAAAGAGGAAACGAUGCCACAUAUCAGUACUCCUCAAGGCCUACGUGUGAAUAUUCUUGAAGAACAUUAUCACCCCACCCCAGCCCCUCAGAGCAAAAACGACAGUGUCUAUGAAUGUGACAGUCAUCUGCAAGCUUCUUCAAACUCCGUUACUACUCUGUUUUCUACCCAAUGACUCAUCUAUACACACUGGCCCCUCCUGGUUGGGAAUAACCACAUGUUUUCAUUAAACUGAUGAGAGGCUUCAAGUUGCUCAAGUAUUUGGGGAGAGGUUAAAAGUUGAGAAACCUCCUCAGUAGAUGAUAAAGGUAACAUGUAUCACAAUCUCAGACAUCGCAUCAAGUGGAAAGAAGUACAUACUUCCAACCUGCCAAUCUCAGUCUACCUACAGACAGUUGAGGGCUUGUGUAGACAGCACCACAAGGACUUUAACCCACUUUGCUGUGAGCACCUCAAUCAAUCACAUGAGUGACCAACAUUGAAAAAUGCCCCAACUGUUCCUUUUCUUACAGAUUCCCUUCAAGAGAGCUCAAGGCUGACACUGCUACCUGCUGCUGUGGAAAAACUGAAAGCUGUCUUGGGGAGAUUGGGGUUUUAAAAAGAAAACAGGGCCAGGCACUGUGGCGCUCACCUGUCAUCCCAGCACUUGGGAGGCCCAGGACGGUGGAUCACGAUGUCACAAGAUGGACACCAUACUGGCCAACAUGGUGAUACCCCAUCUCUACUAAAAAUACAAAAAUAAGCUGGGCGUGGUGGCACGCGCCUGUAAUCCUGAAGUAUUUGAUCGAGUACAAAAUUAGCACCAAGACAAAAGUAUGCCAAAUUGCAGGGUCUUUAUUGCCAGCGACCAUGGAGGACUCACGUCUCUCCAACUCAUGGUCCCGAAAGGAGGGUUUUUUAUGCCCGCAAACCACCUCCAGGGUGAGGGUGUGGGGCGGGGGUGGGGGUGAAGGGAUUCAGACAUUCUGAGGGCCAGGGGAUUCUGUAAAUCACCUCCCGGGCAGAGAGGAAGGUGCAGGUCUCCGGACAUUCCAAGGCCUAGGGGACUUGUUGUCACUUCGAUUGUUACCCGAGUGGUUUACAGAAGUUAAGAUAAGCGUUAGUUUACACAUCAUCUGGGCAGUGGUGGAAUCCACAGAUUUUAGUUACUUAUUACAAGUCACAGGGGCCAGGAUGGAAUUAGCUUGGGCUGCUUAUUCUGGUCAUUACUGGUAAGCAAAGGCCAGCAAUUCGGGCAGUUACUAAUAAGAAAAGGUAAGCAGCUUUAGAUAGUGGGCAUUUUACAGAGCAAGGUAGCAGUUUUAUUUACAGAAGCCAAGGCCAGCAGUUAUCGUGAGGAAAAUGGGGCAGCCGUUACAACUUAUUUCUGAAAAACAGCUUUGUCUUGUAUAAAAUGGCAUUGUUCAGGUUCUAACUCUAGGCCAGCUAUAGUACAGUCCCAGCUACUCGGGAAGCUGAGCCAGGACAAUCGAUUGAACCCAGGAGGUAAAGGUUGCAGUGAGUCAAGAUCAUGCCACAGCACUCCAGCCUGGUGACAGAGCUAGGCUCCAUCUCAAAAGAAAAAAAAAAAAGUCACAGAGAAGUGUGACACACAUUCCGCAGGACAGAGUUCAAAGAAAUCCUAGACUUGAAAACACCCCAGGUGAGAAAAUAAGGGUAUGUAGAACACAUCCAGCACAAACACACAAAUAUGAAACCAAGAGUGGAUUCAUUUGAUGUGCAAAGCGGAAUUCUUUGGCUUUAAAAUAAGAAAAUAAAAUCAGUCAAGUAAGUCAUCAAAAAACAAUGGUCAUUAGGUGCCUGGAAAACAUGCAUUUAAUAUAGGGUUUUUCCAUUAUAAGGGAAAUGGUAAUGAGUCAGGAGAUGAGCUGUCUGGAUCUAACAAGCUCACUUGAGACACAGAAUAGCACUCAGGGGUGAGAGCAGCACUGACAAUUUAGCUUUGUGUGGAAAAUAUUUACCCUCUGGUUUCAAAGUGCUGAGCACCAGGCAUUUGGGACUCAAUAUGUUCCAAUUUAAAAAACGUCCCACUCUCAUUCUGCAAACUAAAUGGAAGAGGGAAAGCUCUUCCACAUCAACUGCACACAUCUUUUUAGGGGAAUAUAUGAAAAAAAAAUCCAUAGUUUCUCUAAUAUGUUAAUGUCAUCCAUCCUCUCUCAUGGAAAUAAUAGCUUAGAAAGUUAACUCUAAAACACUAAGUUUACUUACCUUUCAU
This is a long non-coding RNA of Callithrix jacchus (white-tufted-ear marmoset), 3950 nucleotides long. RefSeq lists it as uncharacterized. The record is from RefSeq and is a predicted model, not a curated record. NCBI's taxonomy places the organism in Eukaryota, Metazoa, Chordata, Mammalia, Primates, Cebidae.